This 2930-nucleotide ribosomal RNA is filed under the name Escherichia coli. RNAcentral's name for it is "bacterial LSU rRNA". It matches the Rfam family "Bacterial large subunit ribosomal RNA". Lineage: Bacteria; Pseudomonadati; Pseudomonadota; Gammaproteobacteria; Enterobacterales; Enterobacteriaceae. The record is from RNAcentral.
GGGUUGUGAGGUUAAGCGACUAAGCGUACACGGUGGAUGCCCUGGCAGUCAGAGGCGAUGAAGGACGUGCUAAUCUGCGAUAAGCGUCGGUAAGGUGAUAUGAACCGUUAUAACCGGCGAUUUCCGAAUGGGGAAACCCAGUGUGAUUCGUCACACUAUCAUUAACUGAAUCCAUAGGUUAAUGAGGCGAACCGGGGGAACUGAAACAUCUAAGUACCCCGAGGAAAAGAAAUCAACCGAGAUUCCCCCAGUAGCGGCGAGCGAACGGGGAGCAGCCCAGAGCCUGAAUCAGUGUGUGUGUUAGUGGAAGCGUCUGGAAAGGCGCGCGAUACAGGGUGACAGCCCCGUACACAAAAAUGCACAUACUGUGAGCUCGAUGAGUAGGGCGGGACACGUGGUAUCCUGUCUGAAUAUGGGGGGACCAUCCUCCAAGGCUAAAUACUCCUGACUGACCGAUAGUGAACCAGUACCGUGAGGGAAAGGCGAAAAGAACCCCGGCGAGGGGAGUGAAAAAGAACCUGAAACCGUGUACGUACAAGCAGUGGGAGCACGCUUAGGCGUGUGACUGCGUACCUUUUGUAUAAUGGGUCAGCGACUUAUAUUCUGUAGCAAGGUUAACCGAAUAGGGGAGCCGAAGGGAAACCGAGUCUUAACUGGGCGUUAAGUUGCAGGGUAUAGACCCGAAACCCGGUGAUCUAGCCAUGGGCAGGUUGAAGGUUGGGUAACACUAACUGGAGGACCGAACCGACUAAUGUUGAAAAAUUAGCGGAUGACUUGUGGCUGGGGGUGAAAGGCCAAUCAAACCGGGAGAUAGCUGGUUCUCCCCGAAAGCUAUUUAGGUAGCGCCUCGUGAAUUCAUCUCCGGGGGUAGAGCACUGUUUCGGCAAGGGGGUCAUCCCGACUUACCAACCCGAUGCAAACUGCGAAUACCGGAGAAUGUUAUCACGGGAGACACACGGCGGGUGCUAACGUCCGUCGUGAAGAGGGAAACAACCCAGACCGCCAGCUAAGGUCCCAAAGUCAUGGUUAAGUGGGAAACGAUGUGGGAAGGCCCAGACAGCCAGGAUGUUGGCUUAGAAGCAGCCAUCAUUUAAAGAAAGCGUAAUAGCUCACUGGUCGAGUCGGCCUGCGCGGAAGAUGUAACGGGGCUAAACCAUGCACCGAAGCUGCGGCAGCGACGCUGAUGCGUUGUUGGGUAGGGGAGCGUUCUGUAAGCCUGUGAAGGUGUGCUGUGAGGCAUGCUGGAGGUAUCAGAAGUGCGAAUGCUGACAUAAGUAACGAUAAAGCGGGUGAAAAGCCCGCUCGCCGGAAGACCAAGGGUUCCUGUCCAACGUUAAUCGGGGCAGGGUGAGUCGACCCCUAAGGCGAGGCCGAAAGGCGUAGUCGAUGGGAAACAGGUUAAUAUUCCUGUACUUGGUGUUACUGCGAAGGGGGGACGGAGAAGGCUAUGUUGGCCGGGCGACGGUUGUCCCGGUUUAAGCGUGUAGGCUGGUUUUCCAGGCAAAUCCGGAAAAUCAAGGCUGAGGCGUGAUGACGAGGCACUACGGUGCUGAAGCAACAAAUGCCCUGCUUCCAGGAAAAGCCUCUAAGCAUCAGGUAACAUCAAAUCGUACCCCAAACCGACACAGGUGGUCAGGUAGAGAAUACCAAGGCGCUUGAGAGAACUCGGGUGAAGGAACUAGGCAAAAUGGUGCCGUAACUUCGGGAGAAGGCACGCUGAUAUGUAGGUGAAGUCCCUCGCGGAUGGAGCUGAAAUCAGUCGAAGAUACCAGCUGGCUGCAACUGUUUAUUAAAAACACAGCACUGUGCAAACACGAAAGUGGACGUAUACGGUGUGACGCCUGCCCGGUGCCGGAAGGUUAAUUGAUGGGGUCAGCGCAAGCGAAGCUCUUGAUCGAAGCCCCGGUAAACGGCGGCCGUAACUAUAACGGUCCUAAGGUAGCGAAAUUCCUUGUCGGGUAAGUUCCGACCUGCACGAAUGGCGUAAUGAUGGCCAGGCUGUCUCCACCCGAGACUCAGUGAAAUUGAACUCGCUGUGAAGAUGCAGUGUACCCGCGGCAAGACGGAAAGACCCCGUGAACCUUUACUAUAGCUUGACACUGAACAUUGAGCCUUGAUGUGUAGGAUAGGUGGGAGGCUUAGAAGUGUGGACGCCAGUCUGCAUGGAGCCGACCUUGAAAUACCACCCUUUAAUGUUUGAUGUUCUAACGUUGACCCGUAAUCCGGGUUGCGGACAGUGUCUGGUGGGUAGUUUGACUGGGGCGGUCUCCUCCUAAAGAGUAACGGAGGAGCACGAAGGUUGGCUAAUCCUGGUCGGACAUCAGGAGGUUAGUGCAAUGGCAUAAGCCAGCUUGACUGCGAGCGUGACGGCGCGAGCAGGUGCGAAAGCAGGUCAUAGUGAUCCGGUGGUUCUGAAUGGAAGGGCCAUCGCUCAACGGAUAAAAGGUACUCCGGGGAUAACAGGCUGAUACCGCCCAAGAGUUCAUAUCGACGGCGGUGUUUGGCACCUCGAUGUCGGCUCAUCACAUCCUGGGGCUGAAGUAGGUCCCAAGGGUAUGGCUGUUCGCCAUUUAAAGUGGUACGCGAGCUGGGUUUAGAACGUCGUGAGACAGUUCGGUCCCUAUCUGCCGUGGGCGCUGGAGAACUGAGGGGGGCUGCUCCUAGUACGAGAGGACCGGAGUGGACGCAUCACUGGUGUUCGGGUUGUCAUGCCAAUGGCACUGCCCGGUAGCUAAAUGCGGAAGAGAUAAGUGCUGAAAGCAUCUAAGCACGAAACUUGCCCCGAGAUGAGUUCUCCCUGACUCCUUGAGAGUCCUGAAGGAACGUUGAAGACGACGACGUUGAUAGGCCGGGUGUGUAAGCGCAGCGAUGCGUUGAGCUAACCGGUACUAAUGAACCGUGAGGCUUAACCUUACAACGCCGAAGCUGUU